RNAcentral lists this ribosomal RNA (253 nucleotides) under uncultured microorganism. RNAcentral describes it as "partial 16S ribosomal RNA". It matches the Rfam family "Bacterial small subunit ribosomal RNA", at positions 524 to 776 of the family's 1533-position model. The record is from RNAcentral.
UACGUAGGGGGCGAGCGUUGUCCGGAAUUACUGGGCGUAAAGCGCAUGUAGGCGGGCGACUAAGUCAGGGGUGAAAACCGUGGGCUCAACCUACGGCUUGCCCUUGAUACUGGUCGUCUUGAGUACAGGAGAGGGAAGCGGAAUUCCCGCUGUAGCGGUGAAAUGCGUAGAUAUCGGGAGGAACACCAGUGGCGAAGGCGGCUUCCUGGCCUGUUACUGACGCUGAGAUGCGAAAGCGUGGGGAGCGAACGGG